CUACUGACAACACGUAUAUUUCUCACGUGUUUCCAUGAAUAGUAACCACAAUUAAUAUCUUCUACUCUUUUGAAGGAUAUUCUAACGCUGAGAAGAAAUUCACGACAUUUAAGUAUAUCAUGGUACCAAUCAACACUGGCAACCACUGGAUCAUUUUGGUAGCCAAACCAGAAACAAAAACAGUUUCAGUUUUAAAUUCACUUUCUUUGAAGAGUGUAAAUAAAGAGUAUAUGGAAUAUUGGAGGAAAUUCAUGAAACUUAGGGGAGAGAAGAUAGAGGAAAGUCUGAUGGAAUGGGAAGAGGAGAAAGUUGUGGUCUGUCAUCAAGAAGAUGGAGAAAGUUGUGGGGUUUUAUACCUGAUUUUCAGUACGCGGAGGCGUUAAUGAUGGGCGUUCAUCCUAUAAUUAUGAGACAGCAACAUGUUCCAAUGUAAAGAAAAUAUAUUGCUGGGGCAUUAGUAUAUGCUGCAACCAUCACGUCAAACCUUUGCGACCUGUCGACUACAUGUAUCAAUCCGAAAAACAAAUGUAUCCAAUGGAUAGAAUGCGACAAUUGUGGGAAGUGGCAGCAUGUCAAAUGUGCCGGAAUCGAAAUGAAAGAUGUGCCGGACCAAUUUUACUGUGGUGACUGUCAUUAAUUAAUUGGAUCAAUGUGGGAGAUAAUUGAAAGGGUAUGUCACUCUGUCCAUCCACCACACUUUAUUGGGCAGAAUAACUCUGUUUCUAAUUGAGCUGGAAUAUUCAAACCUCUGUACCCAUCAGAUGUUUCAAUUGUUAUACGAUUUUAAAAACCAGUAUAUCAUGGUACGCAAAUAAUGUAAAAGUAUAUAUUAGGUCACAAUUUUUGGGUAAUUUUUUAUGCAAAAUAUUUUGAUAUUCACGCAUGUUGGAUCGAAACAACCAAGAUUAUGGUCCCUGAAUGUACCGAAAAUCACGUUUUUAGCUUGUGGUCCAUCUAGAGGUCACAUUUUAUCCCAUUUUAAAAACCGUUGUAAUUUAGCAGCUUGUGGUCCAUCUAGAUGUCACAUUUUAUCCCAUUUUAAAAACCGUUGUAAUUUAGCACUGUUACACUGUUGGUGUACCUACCUACCCCUUGUUCAAUACUGUGUUUUUGUUUAUUUGUAUGUAUUAUUUAAAGUAGUGAAAUUGUUAAUUGUGGAUUGUUUGUUAAAUGGGGAUUAUUGUUCAUUGUGGGUUAUUGUUAAAUGGGGAUUAGUUUUGAAAAGUUCUUUUUAUACGCCCAUCUUGAAAUGUGGUCGUAUAUUUUCAUCACCCCCGUCAUCAAGUGCUAUCUGUUUUUACUGAAAAUUCAAAUAUAUGUUUAUAUCCCGAUAUCUUGGUUCCUUGUGGACGCUCUACAUACUAAAGUAAAUACUUGAAAAUUAUAUCGAGUGUUUAAGGUCGUGAAAUGAAGAAUCCUAUUUUGAUUUUCACUGAUUUCCGAUAAUUACUGCUAUGGUUACGUUCCUUGAUCACUUUGAAAUAUCUUGUGGACACUAGAAGCUAAAGUUGACUUAAAAAUGUAUACACAAUGUUUUGGGUCAUGAGAUUAGUUUUUAAAUAUUUCCCAUAAUUACUGCCAGAGUUAACGCCCUUGAUUACUUCGAAAAAGUUUGGCAAAAGUAAUCAUUCGAUUGACUUUAGAUUGAUACACAUCUGUUAAGGUCUUGAGAUAAACAAGUACAUGUAUGUGGAUUUUCAAUGAUUAAAGCUUAUCAUUGGGCAAAGCAAGAAGCCAAACAAAUUCUAAUAAUUUUCUAUUAAUUACUUAAUGAGUUGUUACUCUUAAUCAGAUUUUAGUGUAUUAUAAAUGCUUCAUUACCAACAACUGUAGCAUAAUGUUGGUGUAUGGCAACCGCUUGUUUAAUACUGUGUUUUUGUGCAUUUAUAAGCUUAUGUGUUUUUAGUUAAUUGUUAAUUGGAGAUUAGUUUUUAUAUGGGGAUUAUUGUUACAUGGGAAUAUUUUUACAUGUGGAUUAUUUUUAAACACGCACAUUGAAAUGUGGUCGUAUAUUGUUGUUGCCCCCGUCUGUCCGGCGUCCACACUCUAGAGGCUAAAGUUAAUAUCAGAUUGACUUUAAAUUUAUACUGUUUAAGGUCACGAGACGAAGAAUCAAAUUAAUUUUCACCAAUUUCCGAUAAUUACUGCUAGAGUUAUGGUCCUUGAUCACUUUGAAAUAUCUUGUGGACAAUAGAAGCUAAAGUUAACAUCCGAUUGACUUUAAACUUAUACAGAUUGUUUAAGGUCAUGAGACAAAGAAUCGUAUUGAUUUUCAUUGAUUUCGGUUAAUUACUGCCAGAGUUAUGGCUCUUGUGGAGUCAACGUUAAUAUCCAAUUGGCUUUAAUUUUAUAUACAGUGUUUACGCCCAUAUAUAAUCGUUUCGAUUGACUUUAGAUUGAUACACAGAGUAUACUGAUUUUCAAUAACAGCUUAAUCUGUGGUAUUAAAUGUUUUGUAUACUAAACGUUAGCAUGGGCCAAACAAAUUCUAAUGAUUUUCUGAUAAUAUGCGACAACUCUUGUUGACUGCCCGGACGAUUUAGCUGCUGAGGGCGUAUGUUUCGUUGCCUGGCGACCUAUCUGUAAUUAUGAUAAAUAAAGAAUUCUU
Molecule: long non-coding RNA, 2608 nt
Organism: Patella vulgata (common limpet)
Lineage: Eukaryota; Metazoa; Mollusca; Gastropoda; Patellidae
Exons: 4
Source: RefSeq, a predicted model, not a curated record